GAGAGACCAGUGGUGCGAAGCUACCAUCCGUGGGAUACGACUGAACGCCUCUAAGUCAGGAUCCCGUCUAAGCAGUGCAAUGAUAUCCUGCGCACUUGAACCGUUUACAGGUGACGUUAGGGUUUCUUGGGUCGAUCGCGGCGGGCCGCCGCGAUUCCAGACGCGACGACGCCACGUGGACGGGGGGGGGGGGGGGGGAGUUAGUCGUUCGCCGAGGUAACGCUGCGAGUGACGCUCCCAUGCACUCGUUUUUGGUGUGAACCGCUGCGGUGUCAAAUCGUCUGUAGACUACUUAGGUACCUGUCGUGGUGUCGUAAUUAGUAGAGCAGCCACCACACUGCGAUCUAUUGAGGCUCAGCCGUUGACCGGGAGGUUUGU
This 378-nucleotide non-coding RNA is filed under the name Ixodes scapularis (black-legged tick). Its description in RNAcentral is "Eukaryotic large subunit ribosomal RNA". It matches the Rfam family "Eukaryotic large subunit ribosomal RNA", at positions 3079 to 3401 of the family's 3401-position model. Lineage: Eukaryota; Metazoa; Arthropoda; Arachnida; Ixodida; Ixodidae. The record is from Rfam by way of RNAcentral.